RNAcentral lists this ribosomal RNA (497 nucleotides) under uncultured bacterium. Its description in RNAcentral is "partial 16S ribosomal RNA". It matches the Rfam family "Bacterial small subunit ribosomal RNA", at positions 28 to 507 of the family's 1533-position model. The record is from RNAcentral.
GAUGAACGCUGGCGGCGGGCCUAACACAUGCAAGUCGAGCGGACAGACGAGGAGCUUUCCUGUCUGACGUUAGCGGCGGGCGGGGGAGUGACACGUGGGUAACCUACCUAUAAGACUGGGAUAACUUCGGGAAACCGGAGCCAAUACCGGAUAAAAUAUUGAACCGCAUGGUUCAAUAGUGAAAGACGUUUUUGCUGUGACUUAGAGAUGGAUCCGCGCCGCAUUAGCUAGUUGGUAAGGUAACGGCUUACCAAGGCAACGAUGCGUAGCCGACCUGAGAGGAUGAUCGGCCACACUGGAACUGAGACACGGUCCAGACUCCUACGGGAGGCAGCAGUGGGGAAUAUUGCGCAAUGGGCGCAAGCCUGACGGAGCAACGCCGCGUGUGUGAUGAAGGUCUUCGGAUUGUAAAGCUCUUUUAUUAGGGAGGAACAAAUGUAUGUGUAUCUCUGCACGUCUUGACGUUACCUACACAAAAAGCCCCGGCUAACUACGUG